UACGAAGGGGGCUAGCGUUGCUCGGAAUGACUGGGCGUAAAGGGCGCGUAGGCGGUUUGUACAGUCAGGUGUGAAAUUCCCGGGCUCAACCUGGGGGCUGCACUUGAUACGUAUGGACUGGAGUGGGGAAGAGGGUCGUGGAAUUCCCAGUGUAGAGGUGAAAUUCGUAGAUAUUGGGAAGAACACCGGUGGCGAAGGCGGCGACCUGGUCCUUGACUGACGCUGAGACGCGAAAGCGUGGGGAGCGAACCGG
This 253-nucleotide ribosomal RNA is filed under the name uncultured bacterium. RNAcentral describes it as "partial 16S ribosomal RNA". It matches the Rfam family "Bacterial small subunit ribosomal RNA", at positions 524 to 776 of the family's 1533-position model. The record is from RNAcentral.